Molecule: long non-coding RNA, 447 nt
Organism: Panicum virgatum (switchgrass)
Lineage: Eukaryota; Viridiplantae; Streptophyta; Magnoliopsida; Poales; Poaceae
Exons: 2
Source: RefSeq, a predicted model, not a curated record
UCGUCCGGGGCUCCCACAGCUGCGUCUUCAUCUUCUGGGCCGUAGGUGACAUGCUGCUCAAGCUGGGAAGCCGGUGCCUCCGGUUAGUCACAGGAGCACACGAGCCAUUAGCAUCACUCAUGGCACCUCUCAUGCACAGAUGCUCUUGAAGCUUCUCUCUGGUGAGUAUUUGCUAAUCAUUGAUGAGAACAAAAAUGAAUUAACCAGGAUCUUGACUUGCAUAUGCAUACAUAUACUUAUAUGCCUCUUGUCUGAUGCUGAUUGCUGUGAGAUUCAGCUAUAAGGCUACAAAACCAGUUUUACUCUCUUAAGAGAUGUGGCUGAAUGGCAGAGUGAGGAGGAAAAUUACUCUGUCUUGGACAUUAAGUUAAGUAAUAAUAUAUGUCUCACUUUGCUUUACCAAAUUCAUUGACCUAUUUAUUUUGUAAGUCAUAUUUGAAAACAACA